Molecule: ribosomal RNA, 406 nt
Filed under: uncultured bacterium
Lineage: Bacteria
Description: partial 16S ribosomal RNA
Rfam family: Bacterial small subunit ribosomal RNA
Source: RNAcentral
AUUGAACGCUGGCGGCAGGCCUAACACAUGCAAGUCGAGCGAGCGGCGGACGGGUGAGUAAUGUCUGGGAAACUGCCUGAUGGAGGGGGAUAACUACUGGAAACGGUAGCUAAUACCGCAUACCCUCAGAUGUGCCCCGAUGGGAUUCGCUCCUAGGUGGGGUAAUGGCUCACCUAGGCGACGAUCCCUAGCUGGUCUGAGAGGAUGAACAGCAACAAUGGGACUGAGAAACGGUCCAGACUCCUACGGGAGGCAGCAGUGGGGAAUAUUGCACAAUGGGCGCAAGCCUGAUGCAGCCAUGCGGCGUGUGUGAAGAAGGCCUUCGGGUUGUAAAGCACGUUCAGCGGGGAGGCGUUACCAGCAGAAGAAGCACCGGCUAACUCCGUGCCAGCAGCCGCGGUAAUAC